UUAAGUUCAGCGGGUAUCCCCGCCUGAUCCGAGGUCAACUUGCAAAGAGUGUGAGGCGAAUCGACUCGAGUGAGUCAUCACAGAUGGUCAAUUGCCGAUGGGGUUGGAAUCCUGCCACGACAGUGAUUCAAAUCCAAGCCAAGCUUGAGAGGUUAAUGACGCUCGAACAGGCGUACUCCUCGGAAUACCAAGGAGUGCAA
RNAcentral lists this unclassified non-coding RNA (200 nucleotides) under Ascomycota sp. RNAcentral's name for it is "partial internal transcribed spacer 2". Lineage: Eukaryota; Fungi; Ascomycota. The record is from RNAcentral.